This 236-nucleotide small RNA is filed under the name Terribacillus halophilus. RNAcentral's name for it is "BsrG". It matches the Rfam family "BsrG", at positions 1 to 233 of the family's 259-position model. Rfam says of the family: bsrE, bsrG and bsrH pair through intermolecular interactions with antisense sRNAs. SR4 interaction with the 3'UTR of bsrG RNA promotes bsrG degradation and inhibits its translation. SR5 also overlaps bsrG from nucleotide 163 to 52 (Rfam overlap check). Lineage: Bacteria; Bacillati; Bacillota; Bacilli; Caryophanales; Bacillaceae. The record is from RNAcentral.
CAAUAGCAUAGAUGACUCAAGGGUGGUCGGCUCACUUAUCCCUCCAGGGAGGGAGGUGAUGCCUCUGACGGUAUUCGAAACGCUGACGCUGAUGAUUUCAUUCGGUACGCUCAUCGUUGCGAUCAUGUCUGAUAGAAACCAAAAAAAAUAACCACCCUUGAGUGACGGCUCAUGAUGGGUAGGUUAUUUUUCGCUCUUUUGUGGGCUGAUUCCUUUGAGGAAUCCUUGCUAUUGCU